Molecule: ribosomal RNA, 989 nt
Filed under: human gut metagenome
Description: bacterial SSU rRNA
Rfam family: Bacterial small subunit ribosomal RNA
Source: RNAcentral
ACGUGCCAGCAGCCGCGGUAAUACGUAGGGUGCAAGCGUUAUCCGGAAUUAUUGGGCGUAAAGGGCUCGUAGGCGGUUCGUCGCGUCCGGUGUGAAAGUCCAUCGCUUAACGGUGGAUCCGCGCCGGGUACGGGCGGGCUUGAGUGCGGUAGGGGAGACUGGAAUUCCCGGUGUAACGGUGGAAUGUGUAGAUAUCGGGAAGAACACCAAUGGCGAAGGCAGGUCUCUGGGCCGUUACUGACGCUGAGGAGCGAAAGCGUGGGGAGCGAACAGGAUUAGAUACCCUGGUAGUCCACGCCGUAAACGGUGGAUGCUGGAUGUGGGGCCCGUUCCACGGGUUCCGUGUCGGAGCUAACGCGUUAAGCAUCCCGCCUGGGGAGUACGGCCGCAAGGCUAAAACUCAAAGAAAUUGACGGGGGCCCGCACAAGCGGCGGAGCAUGCGGAUUAAUUCGAUGCAACGCGAAGAACCUUACCUGGGCUUGACAUGUUCCCGACGGUCGUAGAGAUACGGCUUCCCUUCGGGGCGGGUUCACAGGUGGUGCAUGGUCGUCGUCAGCUCGUGUCGUGAGAUGUUGGGUUAAGUCCCGCAACGAGCGCAACCCUCGCCCCGUGUUGCCAGCGGAUUAUGCCGGGAACUCACGGGGGACCGCCGGGGUUAACUCGGAGGAAGGUGGGGAUGACGUCAGAUCAUCAUGCCCCUUACGUCCAGGGCUUCACGCAUGCUACAAUGGCCGGUACAACGGGAUGCGACGCGGCGACGCGGAGCGGAUCCCUGAAAACCGGUCUCAGUUCGGAUCGCAGUCUGCAACUCGACUGCGUGAAGGCGGAGUCGCUAGUAAUCGCGAAUCAGCAACGUCGCGGUGAAUGCGUUCCCGGGCCUUGUACACACCGCCCGUCAAGUCAUGAAAGUGGGCAGCACCCGAAGCCGGUGGCCUAACCCCUUGUGGGAUGGAGCCGUCUAAGGUGAGGCUCGUGAUUGGGACUAAGU